This 253-nucleotide ribosomal RNA is filed under the name uncultured bacterium. RNAcentral's name for it is "partial 16S ribosomal RNA". It matches the Rfam family "Bacterial small subunit ribosomal RNA", at positions 524 to 776 of the family's 1533-position model. The record is from RNAcentral.
GACGUAGGGCGCGAGCGUUGUCCGGAUUUAUUGGGCGUAAAGAGCUCGUAGGCGGCUUGUCGCGUCGACCGUGAAAACUCGCAGCUCAACUGCGAGCCUGCGGUCGAUACGGGCAGGCUAGAGUUCGGUAGGGGAGACUGGAAUUCCUGGUGUAGCGGUGAAAUGCGCAGAUAUCAGGAGGAACACCGAUGGCGAAGGCAGCACUCUGGGCCGGUACUGACGCUGAGGAGCGAAAGCGUGGGGAGCGAACAGG